Molecule: ribosomal RNA, 253 nt
Filed under: uncultured bacterium
Lineage: Bacteria
Description: partial 16S ribosomal RNA
Rfam family: Bacterial small subunit ribosomal RNA
Source: RNAcentral
UACGUAGGGACCAAGCGUUGUCCGGAAUCAUUGGGCGUAAAGAGCGUGUAGGCGGCUUGUUAAGUCUUGCGUGAAAUCUCGGGGCUCAACCCCGAGCGGUCGUGAGAAACUGGCAGGCUAGAGUGCGGGAGAGGCGAGUGGAAUUCCUGGUGUAGCGGUGAAAUGCGCAGAUAUCAGGAGGAACACCAAUUGCGAAGGCAGCUCGCUGGGACGUUACUGACGCUGAGACGCGAAAGCGUGGGGAGCAAACAGG